GGGCUUGUGGUACAGUGGUAGCACGUUCGCUUAGCAUCGGUUCUGGCGCUUGCGAAAGGUCCUGGGUUCAAUUCCCAGCAAGUCCA
This 86-nucleotide transfer RNA is filed under the name Schizophyllum commune. RNAcentral's name for it is "tRNA-Ala". It matches the Rfam family "tRNA". Rfam says of the family: Transfer RNA (tRNA) molecules are approximately 80 nucleotides in length. Lineage: Eukaryota; Fungi; Basidiomycota; Agaricomycetes; Agaricales; Schizophyllaceae. RNAcentral also lists the same sequence under 2 other names. The record is from RNAcentral.